AUGGGCCGCGAAUGAAACAAGAUGAAACAAGAUGAAACAAUGUACGGGCGGAGAUGGGCCGCGCGCAGUGCACCCGGCGUGACGUGCAUGCACGAGCGAAAAGAACUGAAUUAAUCCAAUCAUUGAAAUAAUUUUGUUUGCAGAGGCAAUUCGCGCAAGGGAGGUAUAGGAAUUUGAUGGCUUGCGAGUGACAGCACGAGCCGAAUUUAUUGCCCGUGGAAGUACCCACGAUAGGAAUACACUGUUGGGAACAUGGUGGCGCCGCUGACGGUACCUAUGUAAGUGGAAUUACUUUAUUGGAAGUACCCACGACGGGGAAAAUAGUCUCUCUAGUAUUGUCGGUGAAUGGUGAUGGUGGUGGUGGCGAUGGCUACUUUCCUCUGCUCAGAGAGAACCCCUGCAUGUCCUUCGUCGUGAUGCGAAAGAGCAGUGGAUGCAGAAAAUGUCUCUACCUGCCAGGAUGGUAUAAGAGCACGAACUGAAUCACCUGUUGGUGCAGAAGGCUUGGAGGACUGCUUUUGAAACAGUUGUUCAAAUUUCCUGCACCUCUUCGUAGCCGUUGUCUGAUUGCUGCAUUCUGGGGAGACUGAAGUUAAGUAUUAUCAAUUUAUCAUGCCUAUACAAGCCUUGCCAGUGUCUCGAUAGGAGAAGCAGAUACAUGAUUACACCACUUGGGUUUUGACCUUCUUUGGCCGGGGCGAAUGUCGAAGGAAAGACUCCCUCUGGGCCAAGGUGUUGGCGACAGUUGAGAGUUGUCCUCUAUUUUGCAGCGGGGGACAGCAUGGCAUAUUUGGUGCCGGAAAGAGUGCAGUUGCACUUUUCAUGUUACUGUAAAAUUUGCUAGGUCAAUCCCUUGAAGCUGGAGACUGCUGAUACUGCUGCUCAAACGGCUGCUGCUGUUACUCUCUGCUGCUACCAUGGUCGUUGCUUUGUAUCAAUGGCGAAAAUUCUCAGAUGAGCUUUGGGUCCGGGCACUAGAACCCUGCUGCUGCCUCUGCAGCAGUUGUAGAAAGUUUUAUAAUACCAGUGUCGAUGGUGAACUUCUGCUCUUUUUUUUAUCCCAGACACUUUGUGCUCAAGAGACUGUUAGGUCUUUGUGGUGUUGUCGUUGCUGUUUGGUUAUACUAGUUGGCGUCUGUUUGGAAAUAUAUUGUGCUUUUCUGUGUGUUCAUGUGAACGUAGAAGCCCUCACCGAAACCAACACUACGUUGCUGUGUUGUUUUCUUCCAAGGUCGGGCACAGUAAAGGAGACGACUCUGUAUCAAGGCACUACCCAGAGGGAGGAUGUUGGCCUUCUCCUGAUGGGAAAAUGUCUUCUUUCUCAUGGCGUGGCCAGGACUGCACUGACCCUACCAUCCACUCUACCUCUCCGGAAAGGGACUUGACAACCAGUCAAGAUGGAUGUGCAGAGAUAUACCAGCGCUUCUAGCAUUAACUGCCAAUUUGCACUGACGCAGCAAGACUCCCAACAGUCAAUAUUGUUUUACUUGAACAUCAUACUCUCGCCCAACUUUGUUUCACCAACAAAGGUUUAUUCUCCAAAGUAUUUCUAAUUGAUUGUGUAUGAGUUUCAUACUACUGUCA
Long non-coding RNA from Sycon ciliatum, 1584 nucleotides. RefSeq lists it as uncharacterized. The transcript has 6 exons. The record is from RefSeq and is a predicted model, not a curated record. Lineage: Eukaryota; Metazoa; Porifera; Calcarea; Leucosolenida; Sycettidae.